CGUCCCUACGGGAGGCAGCAGUGAGGAAUAUUGGUCAAUGGCCGAGAGGCUGAACCAGCCAAGUCGCGUGAGGGAUGACGGCCCUACGGGUUGUAAACCUCUUUUGUCGGGGAGCAAGACCCGCCUCGUGCAGGCGGAGCGAGAGUACCCGAAGAAAAAGCAUCGGCUAACUCCGUGCCAGCAGCCGCGGUAAUACGGAGGAUGCGAGCGUUAUCCGGCUUCAUUGGGUUUAAAGGGUGCGCAGGCGGACCAUCAAGUCAGCGGGAAAAUCGUGGGGCGCAACCCCAUCCCGCCUUUGAAACUGG
Molecule: ribosomal RNA, 305 nt
Filed under: uncultured bacterium
Lineage: Bacteria
Description: bacterial SSU rRNA
Rfam family: Bacterial small subunit ribosomal RNA
Source: RNAcentral